This 256-nucleotide ribosomal RNA is filed under the name uncultured bacterium. Its description in RNAcentral is "partial 16S ribosomal RNA". It matches the Rfam family "Bacterial small subunit ribosomal RNA", at positions 524 to 776 of the family's 1533-position model. The record is from RNAcentral.
UACGGAGGGUGCGGAGCGUUGUCCGGAUUUAUUGGGUUUAAAGGGUGCGUAGGUGGGUUAAUAAGUCAGUGGUGAAAUACGGUUGCUCAACAAUCGAGGUGCCAUUGAUACUGUUAAUCUUGAAACAAGUGGAGGUUGCCGGAAUGGAUGGUGUAGCGGUGAAAUGCAUAGAUAUCAUCCAGAACACCGAUUGCGAAGGCAGGUGACUACGUUUUGAUUUGACACUGAGGCACGAAAGCAUGGGGGAGCAAACAGG